UAUUCUGCCCAUGCGGGAAGGAUGAGAAGCUUCGACCAAGGUUCGACUCGAGCGCCAGCGAGAGAGCGUUGCCGCAGGCAACGACCCGAAGGGCGAAGCGCGCAGCGCUGAGUAAUCCUUCCCCCACCACCA
RNAcentral lists this small RNA (132 nucleotides) under Escherichia coli. RNAcentral's name for it is "RtT sRNA". It matches the Rfam family "RtT RNA". Rfam says of the family: This family represents a bacterial cis-regulatory element known as RtT RNA. The record is from RNAcentral. Lineage: Bacteria; Pseudomonadati; Pseudomonadota; Gammaproteobacteria; Enterobacterales; Enterobacteriaceae.